CCCCUCCGUAGCAUGGGAUUGGUCCAUUCAAGACCAGGAAGGAGGAGGGGGACCCCUGGAGCACAACAUUUUGAAACUCACAAUGUACUUGAGGUUUGGUGCUUCUCCUCAGAACUGUGGAAUAAUACGGCACUGUUCUAAGUUCUUGGAUACAAAUAUAUGUAAAAAGAAACAUAAUCUCUGUCUUCAAGGAGCUUUUACUCUAAUGGGGAAAGAUAACAUAAAAAGCAGCUGAAAUGCAGAUGGAGAAAGAUAUGUAGAGGGCCAAGAACAAAUUUCAAAAGGAGUAAUGGUAAGAUUAGAGCAAAUUUCAAAAAAUUUUCAUAAGAAUUGUUAAAAUAGCCAUACCUAUAUUUCAUCAGACUUUUUUUUUACUCUGUAGUUUAAAAAAAAUUAAACUGUCAUCAAACUUGUUUUGCUUAGCUUGAAAAAAGUAUAACUAAAACUGUAGGUGGGAAUUUUCAAAUGGAAUCUUACGCUAGAAAUAAUCAAUCUUUGGAGGCAAUGAGUUUGCCCAUAAUUAAGGUCUUUUAUUGGAAUAUAUUCUUAUGGAAUUAUUUGAUUAAUAGGUCUUUGCAUUAUUUUCUGACUGGGAAGUUUUUUGUGAUUAUGUGAACUUAAUGGAAGUAAUAAAUAAAUCUGAGUCAAAGUUAUAAGAAUACA
RNAcentral lists this long non-coding RNA (663 nucleotides) under Monodelphis domestica (gray short-tailed opossum). RNAcentral's name for it is "lncRNA (ENSMODG00000037668.1)". The record is from RNAcentral. Lineage: Eukaryota; Metazoa; Chordata; Mammalia; Didelphimorphia; Didelphidae.